UUGGAGGGCAAGUCUGGUGCCAGCAGCCGCGGUAAUUCCAGCUCCAAUAGCGUAUAUUAAAGUUGUUGCAGUUAAAAAGCUCGUAGUCGAAUUUCGGGAUCAAUACGUCGGUCGUGCUUUCGGGUACGUACUGGCGUCAUUGGUUUCUCCUUUCUGACGAACCAUGAUGUCAUUAAUUUGGUGUUAUGGGGAGUUAGGACUGUUACUUUGAAAAAAUUAGAGUGUUUAAAGCAGGCAUUAGCUUGAAUACAUUAGCAUGGAAUAAUGAAAUAGGACGUUCGAUCCUAUUUUGUUGGUUUCUAGGAUCAACGUAAUGAUUAAUAGGGAUAGUUGGGGGCAUUAGUAUUCAAUUGUCAGAGGUGAAAUUCUUGGAUUUAUUGAAGACUAACUACUGCGAAAGCAUUUGCCAAGGAUGUUUUCAUUAAUCAAGAACGAAAGUUAGGGGAUCGAAGACGAUCAGAUACCGUCGUAGUCUUAACCAUAAACUAUGCCGACUAGGGAUCGGAUGAUGUUAAUUUUUUAAUGACUCAUUCGGCGCCUUACGGGAAAC
Molecule: ribosomal RNA, 550 nt
Filed under: uncultured Glomeromycotina
Lineage: Eukaryota; Fungi; Glomeromycota
Description: SSU rRNA
Rfam family: Eukaryotic small subunit ribosomal RNA
Source: RNAcentral